This 308-nucleotide long non-coding RNA is filed under the name Capsicum annuum. RNAcentral describes it as "long non-coding RNA (CANN_LNC006514)". The record is from RNAcentral. Lineage: Eukaryota; Viridiplantae; Streptophyta; Magnoliopsida; Solanales; Solanaceae.
ACGGUUUAUGACCUUAUCAACAAUGGUGCUUGGGACGUUAGUAAACUAAGCUAUAUGCUUCCGUAUACUAUAACGAGUACAAUUUAUGCUACCAUUAUCCCAGAAUCUACAGUCUUGGCGGAUAAACUCCAAUGCGCCUUGGUCACAAAUGGUAAGUUUUUAACUUCCAGAGCCUACCAUUUCCUUCUUAGUAAGCUACCCGAAGUAUCAUCAACCUGUAGAUAAGUUUAAAUGGAUUUGGAAGCUAGAAUGUCCGAACAAAUUAAGAUUCUUCAUUUGGAUAGUAUACCAUAAUAGGCUUCCUACUG